This is a long non-coding RNA of Brassica napus (rape), 879 nucleotides long. RefSeq lists it as uncharacterized. The transcript has 2 exons. Lineage: Eukaryota; Viridiplantae; Streptophyta; Magnoliopsida; Brassicales; Brassicaceae. The record is from RefSeq and is a predicted model, not a curated record.
AAAAUUCAUGUAACAAAAUUAUUAUUAGGUUAAAAUUCUAUAAACAUUGGCAGAAUUUUAUGAUGGGAAGAAGUUGAUAUUUCAUCUAAGACUUUCUCUUUUUAUGGCCAUCCUUCGUCUCUAUUUUACCCUCUCUGGCACCGGUUCUCACACCGGAAGUUGUGAGAGGGUCAAUCUUUCCUUUUUUUUUUUUCUUUUCUUUGUUUGGUCAUCCACGAACUUAAAAGAUCCACGGUGGCUCGAGCAGUGUUGGCGUAGCGAAGAGGCGGCAGAAGUUUCUCGGUGAUAAAGCACGACGUAAGGGUUGGGUUUGGCUAUAUAUUGGAAGCACCGAUUUCCUUUUUUCAUCUUGCAUCUCACUUUUGAGAAUGGCGGCAGAGCUAGGGUUAGGGUUUUAGUUACAAUGGAGGCGAUCCGGUUAGUGGGGUGCGGUCUAGAUCUAUUUUGCUCUUUGCAACUUUGCACUUCUUCUAUUUCUUUUCCUGUUUUGGCCUAACAUGUUGCUUAGAUCCGUUUGUCUCUUCGUUUCUUUGUGGCGGAGGUCUCGACUCCGCUUUUCUAUUCCGGUACUCUUGUCUCCGGUGGAAAUAGCAUCUUUGUUCGGUUUUGCUCUUGAGAUUUCUGGUGGCAGCGAUCUCAGCGGACAUGGCUUCUCUUCGGUGCGGCUCUGAUGGACUUGUUGGUGGCGGUUUUCUAUUUCGCCUCUUUGUUUUCUUGGGUUAGGUUAAAGACUAUUCCUGGUCUGGGUGGACCGGAUUAGAAUGUGGUUUGAUUGUUUUUCGGUUUACUUUAUUUUCUUCAUGUUAUUUUUUAUGUUUGUCAGCUGUUUCUUUAUCUUGAAAAGAAAAACAAACUUUUUUAAUAUGAAUUUUUUUUUUU